RNAcentral lists this ribosomal RNA (253 nucleotides) under uncultured bacterium. RNAcentral's name for it is "partial 16S ribosomal RNA". It matches the Rfam family "Bacterial small subunit ribosomal RNA", at positions 524 to 776 of the family's 1533-position model. The record is from RNAcentral.
UACGAAGGGGGCUAGCGUUGCUCGGAAUCACUGGGCGUAAAGGGUGCGUAGGCGGGUCUUUAAGUCAGGGGUGAAAACCUGGAGCUCAACUCCAGAACUGCCUUUGAUACUGAGGAUCUUGAGUACGGGAGAGGUGAGUGGAACUGCGAGUGUAGAGGUGAAAUUCGUAGAUAUUCGCAAGAACACCAGUGGCGAAGGCGGCUCACUGGCCCGUAACUGACGCUGAGGCACGAAAGCGUGGGGAGCAAACAGG